Molecule: small nuclear RNA, 109 nt
Organism: Rattus rattus (black rat)
Lineage: Eukaryota; Metazoa; Chordata; Mammalia; Rodentia; Muridae
Source: RefSeq, a predicted model, not a curated record
GUGCUCGCUUCGGCAGCACAUAUACUAAAAUUGGAACGAUACAGAGAAGAUUAGCAUGGCCCCUGCGCAAGGAUGAUACAAUGUUACUCAUCACCAGAAAGUAAUACUC